UGGGGAAUAUUGCACAAUGGGCGCAAGCCUGAUGCAGCCAUGCCGCGUGUGUGAAGAAGGCCUUCGGGUUGUAAAGCACUUUCAGCGAGGAGGAAGGUGGUGAGCUUAAUACGCUCAUCAAUUGACGUUACUCGCAGAAGAAGCACCGGCUAACUCCGUGCCAGCAGCCGCGGUAAUACGGAGGGUGCAAGCGUUAAUCGGAAUUACUGGGCGUAAAGCGCACGCAGGCGGUUUGUUAAGUCAGAUGUGAAAUCCCCGGGCUCAACCUGGGAACUGCAUUUGAAACUGGCAAGCUAGAGUCUCGUAGAGGGGGGUAGAAUUCCAGGUGUAGCGGUGAAAUGCGUAGAGAUCUGGAGGAAUACCGGUGGCGAAGGCGGCCCCCUGGACGAAGACUGACGCUCAGGUGCGAAAGCGUGGGGAGCAAAACAGGAUUAGAUACCCUGGUAGUCCACGCUGUAAACGAUGUCGAUUUUGGAGGUUGUGCCCUUGAGGCGUGGCUUCCGGAGCUAACGCGUUAAAUCGACCGCCUGGGGAGUACGGCCGCAAGGUUAAAACUUAAAUGAAUUGAC
Molecule: ribosomal RNA, 569 nt
Filed under: uncultured bacterium
Lineage: Bacteria
Description: partial 16S ribosomal RNA
Rfam family: Bacterial small subunit ribosomal RNA
Source: RNAcentral